This is a long non-coding RNA of Triticum aestivum (bread wheat), 230 nucleotides long. RefSeq lists it as uncharacterized. The transcript has 3 exons. NCBI's taxonomy places the organism in Eukaryota, Viridiplantae, Streptophyta, Magnoliopsida, Poales, Poaceae. The record is from RefSeq and is a predicted model, not a curated record.
GCCCCGCCUCCCUCCUCCGCUCCUUCUCCUCCCAGGGGAGGCUGAGGAGGUCCAAGAACGGCCGCUCGUCGCGGCUGGUGGUGCGCGCGGACGCCAAGGAAAUCGCCUUCGACCAGAAGUCCCGCGCCGCACUCCAGGCCGGCGUCGAGAAGGUCGCCAACGCCGUCGGCGUCACCCUCGGCCCGCGAGGGAGGAACGUAGUGCUGGAUGAGUAUGGCAACCCCGAAGAU